AUUGUAAGACUCGUUUGAUGCCA
Molecule: non-coding RNA, 23 nt
Filed under: Arabidopsis thaliana (thale cress)
Lineage: Eukaryota; Viridiplantae; Streptophyta; Magnoliopsida; Brassicales; Brassicaceae
Source: RNAcentral